ACGGGAGGCAGCAGUGGGGGAUAUUGCACAAUGGGCGCAAGCCUGAUGCAGCAACGCCGCGUGCGGGAAGACGGCCUUCGGGUUGUAAACCGCUGUCCUUGGUGAAGAAACAAAUGACGGUAACCAUGGAGGAAGCCACGGCUAACUACGUGCCAGCAGCCGCGGUAAUACGUAGGUGGCAAGCGUUGUCCGGAAUUACUGGGUGUAAAGGGAGCGCAGGCGGGACUGCAAGUUGGAUGUGAAAUACCGGAGCUCAACUCCGGGGCUGCAUCCAAAACUGUAGUUCUUGAGUGGAGUAGAGGUAAGCGGAAUUCCGAGUGUAGCGGUGAAAUGCGUAGAUAUUCGGAGGAACACCAGUGGCGAAGGCGGCUUACUGGGCUCUAACUGACGCUGAGGCUCGAAAGCGUGGGGAGCAAACAGGAUUAGAUACCCUGGUA
This 437-nucleotide ribosomal RNA is filed under the name uncultured bacterium. Its description in RNAcentral is "partial 16S ribosomal RNA". It matches the Rfam family "Bacterial small subunit ribosomal RNA", at positions 341 to 792 of the family's 1533-position model. The record is from RNAcentral.